This 720-nucleotide ribosomal RNA is filed under the name uncultured bacterium. RNAcentral describes it as "bacterial SSU rRNA". It matches the Rfam family "Bacterial small subunit ribosomal RNA", at positions 387 to 1123 of the family's 1533-position model. The record is from RNAcentral.
CGCAGCAACGCCGCGUGGGGGAUGAAGGCCUUCGGGUUGUAAACCCCUUYCAGGAGGGAAGAAAUUGACGGUACCUCCAGAAGAAGCCCCGGCCAACUACGUGCCAGCAGCCGCGGUAAUACGUAGGGGGCGAGCGUUGUCCGGAAUCAUUGGGCGUAAAGAGCUCGUAGGCGGUUCAGCAAGUCGGCGGUGAAAGUCCGAGGAUCAACCUCGGAAUUGCCGUCGAUACUGCUGUGACUCGAGUCCGGUAGAGGAGAAUGGAAUUCCCGGUGUAGCGGUGAAAUGCGCAGAUAUCGGGAGGAACACCAGUAGCGAAGGCGGUUCUCUGGGCCGGCACUGACGCUGAGGAGCGAAAGCGUGGGUAGCAAACAGGAUUAGAUACCCUGGUAGUCCACGCCGUAAACGUUGGACACUAGGUGUGGCGUCCCGAUCAACGGAUGCCGUGCCGAAGCUAACGCAUUAAGUGUCCCGCCUGGGGAGUACGGCCGCAAGGCUAAAACUCAAAGGAAUUGACGGGUCCCCGCACAAGCGGCGGAGCAUGCGGCUUAAUUCGAUGCAACCCGAAGAACCUUACCUGGACUUGACAUCACGGGAAAAGCCGUAGAAAUACGGUGUCCGAAAGGGCCCGUGACAGGUGGUGCAUGGCUGUCGUCAGCUCGUGUCGUGAGAUGUUGGGUUAAGUCCCGCAACGAGCGCAACCCUCGUCCUAUGUUGCCAGCG